AUUGAACGCUGGCGGCAUGCUUUACACAUGCCAGUCGAACGGCAGCACGGGGGCAACCCUGGUGGCGAGUGGCGAACGGGUGAGUAAUACAUCGGAACGUGCCCGGUCGUGGGGGAUAACGUAGCGAAAGUUACGCUAAUACCGCAUACGAUCUGAGGAUGAAAGCGGGGGACCUUCGGGCCUCGCGCGAUCGGAGCGGCCGAUGUCAGAUUAGGUAGUUGGUGGGGUAAAGGCCUACCAAGCCGACGAUCUGUAGCUGGUCUGAGAGGACGACCAGCCACACUGGGACUGAGACACGGCCCAGACUCCUACGGGAGGCAGCAGUGGGGAAUUUUGGACAAUGGGCGCAAGCCUGAUCCAGCCAUUCCGCGUGCAGGACGAAGGCCUUCGGGUUGUAAACUGCUUUUGUAUGGAACGAAAAGGCUCUGGCUAAUACCUGGGGCUCAUGACGGUACCGUAAGAAUAAGCACCGGCUAACUACGUG
RNAcentral lists this ribosomal RNA (484 nucleotides) under uncultured bacterium. Its description in RNAcentral is "partial 16S ribosomal RNA". It matches the Rfam family "Bacterial small subunit ribosomal RNA", at positions 30 to 507 of the family's 1533-position model. The record is from RNAcentral.